GAGCAGGUCAAGUUAAAAGUCGAUUUGGUUUAAAAGAAGGUUAUAGGUUUAGACGCGAAGAAGGGAAGAAGUUAAAUAAUAGGGUUAAAUCUGUUUUUAUAUUUAUUGAAUAUUUAUUGUCUUUCUUCAGCUUGAUACCUUGAAAUUGUGGGUAAAAACUCGGAUUAGAUACCCGGUUAUUCCAUGGCGUAAAAUUUGAUUAAUUAAUCUACCAGAGUAGUAUGGACAAUGGCCAUUACGGCUAGUUCGUUUGAAACUUAAAAGACUUGGCGGUGCUUUAUUCUAUUCAGGGGAACCUGUCCCAUAAUUGAUAGCCCACGUUUCAGCUUGCCUUAUUUUGUGUGUUCUGUAUAAUAUCCACGUUCAGUUAGUAUAUCGUCGUUGUCAGGUGACUCUUAAGGAAAUAUAAGAAGCCGGGGUAAAAUAGUUAUUUAACUUAUUUUAAGAUUUCAGAUCGAGGUGCAGCUGAUAAUAAGGUGGUGAUGGGUUACCAUAAAUAUUUAUUUUGGAUUAUGGUUUGUAAAUAAUUGUAUGAAAUUGGACUUGGUAGUAAUUUAGUGAAUUAGAAUAUCUGAAUGAAUAACGCUCUAAGGCGCGCACAAAUCGCCCGUCGCUCU
RNAcentral lists this ribosomal RNA (617 nucleotides) under Pseudococculina subcingulata. RNAcentral describes it as "partial 12S rRNA". It matches the Rfam family "Bacterial small subunit ribosomal RNA", at positions 532 to 1403 of the family's 1533-position model. Lineage: Eukaryota; Metazoa; Mollusca; Gastropoda; Lepetellida; Pseudococculinidae. The record is from RNAcentral.